This 77-nucleotide transfer RNA is filed under the name Gammaproteobacteria bacterium. RNAcentral describes it as "tRNA-Met". It matches the Rfam family "tRNA". Rfam says of the family: Transfer RNA (tRNA) molecules are approximately 80 nucleotides in length. Their secondary structure includes four short double-helical elements and three loops (D, anti-codon, and T loops). Lineage: Bacteria; Pseudomonadati; Pseudomonadota; Gammaproteobacteria. The record is from RNAcentral.
UGCGGGGUGGGGCAGUUCGGCAGCCCGUCGGGCUCAUAACCCGAAGGUCGCAGGUUCAAAUCCUGCCCCCGCUACCA